This 497-nucleotide ribosomal RNA is filed under the name uncultured bacterium. Its description in RNAcentral is "partial 16S ribosomal RNA". It matches the Rfam family "Bacterial small subunit ribosomal RNA", at positions 28 to 507 of the family's 1533-position model. The record is from RNAcentral.
GACGAACGCUGGCGGCGUGCCUAAUACAUGCAAGUUGAGCGAUGAAGAUUGGUGCUUGCACCAAUUUGAAGAGCAGCGAACGGGUGAGUAACGCGUGGGGAAUCUGCCUUUGAGCGGGGGACAACAUUUGGAAACGAAUGCUAAUACCGCAUAACAACUUUAAACAUAAGUUUUAAGUUUGAAAGAUGCAAUUGCAUCACUCAAAGAUGAUCCCGCGUUGUAUUAGCUAGUUGGUGAGGUAAAGGCUCACCAAGGCGAUGAUACAUAGCCGACCUGAGAGGGUGAACGGCCACAAUGGGACUGGGACACGGCCCAAACUCCUACGGGAGGCAGCAGUAGGGAAUCUUCGGCAAUGGACGAAAGUCUGACCGAGCAACGCCGCGUGAGUGAAGAAGGUUUUCGGAUCGUAAAACUCUGUUGGUAGAGAAGAAAGUUGGUGAGAGUGGAAAGCUCAUCAAGUGACGGUAACUACCCAGAAAGGGACGGCUAACUACGUG